This 1052-nucleotide ribosomal RNA is filed under the name Aspergillus sp. RNAcentral's name for it is "SSU rRNA". It matches the Rfam family "Eukaryotic small subunit ribosomal RNA", at positions 53 to 1115 of the family's 1831-position model. The record is from RNAcentral. Lineage: Eukaryota; Fungi; Ascomycota; Eurotiomycetes; Eurotiales; Aspergillaceae.
GCAUGGUCUAGUAUAAGCAUCUAUACUGUGAAACUGCGAAUGGCUCAUUAAAUCAGUUAUCGUUUAUUUGAUAGUACCUUACUACAUGGAUACCUGUGGUAAUUCUAGAGCUAAUACAUGCUAAAAACCCCGACUUCGGGAGGGGUGUAUUUAUUAGAUAAAAAACCAAUGCCCCUCGGGGCUCCUUGGUGAAUCAUAAUAACUUAACGAAUCGCAUGGCCUUGCGCCGGCGAUGGUUCAUUCAAAUUUCUGCCCUAUCAACUUUCGAUGGUAGGAUAGUGGCCUACCAUGGUGGCAACGGGUAACGGGGAAUUAGGGUUCGAUUCCGGAGAGGGAGCCUGAGAAACGGCUACCACAUCCAAGGAAGGCAGCAGGCGCGCAAAUUACCCAAUCCCGACACGGGGAGGUAGUGACAAUAAAUACUGAUACGGGGCUCUUUUGGGUCUCGUAAUUGGAAUGAGUACAAUCUAAAUCCCUUAACGAGGAACAAUUGGAGGGCAAGUCUGGUGCCAGCAGCCGCGGUAAUUCCAGCUCCAAUAGCGUAUAUUAAAGUUGUUGCAGUUAAAAAGCUCGUAGUUGAACCUUGGGUCUGGCUGGCCGGUCCGCCUCACCGCGAGUACUGGUCCGGCUGGACCUUUCCUUCUGGGGAAUCCCAUGGCCUUCACUGGCUGUGGGUGGAACCAGGACUUUUACUGUGAAAAAAUUAGAGUGUUCAAAGCAGGCCUUUGCUCGGAUACAUUAGCAUGGAAUAAUAGAAUAGGACGUGCGGUUCUAUUUUGUUGGUUUCUAGGACCGCCGUAAUGAUUAAUAGGGAUAGUCGGGGGCGUCAGUAUUCAGCUGUCAGAGGUGAAAUUCUUGGAUUUGCUGAAGACUAACUACUGCGAAAGCAUUCGCCAAGGAUGUUUUCAUUAAUCAGGGAACGAAAGUUAGGGGAUCGAAGACGAUCAGAUACCGUCGUAGUCUUAACCAUAAACUAUGCCGACUAGGGAUCGGGCGGCGUUUCUAUGAUGACCCGCUCGGCACCUUACGAGAAAUCAAAGUUUUUGGGUUCU